RNAcentral lists this ribosomal RNA (101 nucleotides) under uncultured bacterium. RNAcentral describes it as "partial 16S ribosomal RNA". It matches the Rfam family "Bacterial small subunit ribosomal RNA", at positions 1380 to 1482 of the family's 1533-position model. The record is from RNAcentral.
CUUGUACACACUGCCCGUCACGCCAUGGGAGUUGGUUCUACCUGAAGCCGGUGAGUUAACUUCGGAGACAGCCGUCCACGGUAGGGUCAGCGACUGGGGUG